This 304-nucleotide unclassified non-coding RNA is filed under the name Hevea brasiliensis (rubber tree). The record is from RNAcentral. Lineage: Eukaryota; Viridiplantae; Streptophyta; Magnoliopsida; Malpighiales; Euphorbiaceae.
ACCUUCAAGGCUUCUGCUGUGGUUGAAAGGUCAGGGUCACCAGCUGUGAUGUAUGGAAUGAAUGCCACUUUGCCCUGUUUUCUCAGAUUGGAGAACGUGUCACAUAGACCAAUAGUAGGAGCUGUUGUCAGGGCAGCCAUUGGCGCGAAUCUUCUGGUGGAAAUGACAGUAGAUUUGGAAUGGGGGAAGCGAAGAUGGAGAUGGGCCUCCGGUUUCUUGAGGUUGAGGAAGCUAGUUGUUGAUAUCAGGGUAACAGCCAUCGGACAAAAAACAGGGGACUUUCUGAUAGAUGUUUGGUGCUCGC